This 979-nucleotide long non-coding RNA is filed under the name Phoenix dactylifera (date palm). Its description in RNAcentral is "long non-coding RNA (PDAC_LNC016639)". Lineage: Eukaryota; Viridiplantae; Streptophyta; Magnoliopsida; Arecales; Arecaceae. The record is from RNAcentral.
CAGAUGCUUUGAGCUCAUCAAAAUCAAAUAGGGUUAUGAUCAAUCACUCCACAACUUUUUCUUUCAACUAGCAGCGCAACCGGAAUUCCCUUCCCUUCCUUUUUUCUUCUUUUUCUUCCUCUUCUUUUCUUCCUUUCUUUUCCUCUUCUUCUUUUUCUUCUCUCUGUCCGUCUGAGACUCCCACCUCUCUAUUUCAAUCCAACGCCUCAGCCAGCUCAAACCCAUGAAUUAAGUCACAUCAAAUACUAUUCACCCUUUAUUUAAUAUUAUUAAAUUCCCAUUUUGCCCCUAACACUUCAACAUAUCUACUGUUAUGCCAUUAACUUUUGAUUCCUUUCUAAUUUUACCCUUACCACUUCAACGCAUCUACAACUAUGCCAUUAUCUUUUGAUUCCUUCCAAUUUUACCUCUUAUAUCAAUUUUAAAGGACUAUUCUAUCCCUUUUUAUAUAAAUUUUUUUUUUUUGGGUUAUUACAUCCUCCCCCCCUUAUAUAAAAUUCAUCCUCGAAUUUAAAAAGAUAAAUUACCUGAUUACUUAAAGAGGUGAGGGUAUUUGCUAUUUAUUGUUACCUUGUCAAUCCUCGAUAACCGAUACAUAACCUCAAACUUCCAUCUUUCUUCUUUACAAACAAUACUAGAGCUCCCCAAGGUGACACUCUAAAUCAAAUGAGGCUUUUAUCAAGUAGAUCUUGCAACCGUUCCUUUAAUUCUUUUAUUUUAGUUGGAGCCAUUCUAUAGGGGGAUUUUUGAAGGUUGGUGUGGUAUUGGGAAUCAAAUAAAUUGGAAGUGUUUUACCUUCUAUCUCUACCACACAGGUAGGAUACACAUAUUUCGCUUCUAUACUAUCCCCUACAGAUGUACUAAUAGCUAAGGGAAUAUACAUUAAUAUCUUAUCCUUAGCUAACUUUUUAGCAAAAUAAGGGGACACAAAUGAAUGGGUAGAUCCAUAAUCAAAUAACACUCUAGCUUUAAUCUUAUC